AUCGGUGAUGGAUGGGGAUGCGUCUGAUUAGCUUGUUGGCGGGGUAACGGCCCACCAAGGCGACGAUCAGUAGGGGUUCUGAGAGGAAGGUCCCCCACAUUGGAACUGAGACACGGUCCAAACUCCUACGGGAGGCAGCAGUGAGGAAUAUUGGUCAAUGGGCGAGAGCCUGAACCAGCCAAGUAGCGUGCAGGAUGACGGCCCUAUGGGUUGUAAACUGCUUUUAUAAGGGAAUAAAGUGAGCCUCGUGAGGCUUUUUGCAUGUACCUUAUGAAUAAGGACCGGCUAAUUCCGUGCCAGCAGCCGCGGUAAUACGGAAGGUUCGGGCGUUAUCCGGAUUUAUUGGGUUUAAAGGGAGCGUAGGCCGGAGAUUAAGCGUGUUGUGAAAUGUAGAUGCUCAACCUCUGCACUGCAGCGCGAACUGGUCUUCUUGAGUACGCACAACGUGGGCGGAAUUCGUGGUGUAGCGGUGAAAUGCUUAGAUAUCACGAAGAACUCCGAUUGCGAAGGCAGCUCACGGGAGCGCAACUGACGCUGAAGCUCGAAAGUGCGGGUAUCGAACAGGAUUAGAUACCUUGGUAGUCCGCCCGGUUAAAGAUGGAUGCCCGCUUUU
Molecule: ribosomal RNA, 613 nt
Filed under: uncultured Bacteroidota bacterium
Lineage: Bacteria; Pseudomonadati; Bacteroidota
Description: bacterial SSU rRNA
Rfam family: Bacterial small subunit ribosomal RNA
Source: RNAcentral